UCUCUAAAUUCAAGGAAGCAUAAAAUCAGAAACACGAGUUUCCUGUUUACAAAGAUUGUGAACAGCUUCUACCCAUGACAGUGUUUGCAGAACGGUAAAGGAGCAAAAGCUAUGAGUUGGUGGUGUCACUUGGCAUGAUGGCAACAGCAGCAAGAGCUACCAGGACAUUUCAAUGCCUGGGCUGGAUUCCUGCUCCUGCUGGGUCUUCCUGGGAUGGAGCUGGACAGUCAGUAACUCAUGAGGCCUUCCCAACUUGUCCAAGAGUGUGUCCUGUUUUCCUGAAUUGGCUGUCACCUGGGAAUGAUGAAGUAUGAUUGGUCUUGUUCAAGCUCUCUCUCCAGAUCUUCCAGCACACUGACUGCCUCCUCUACAGUCUCUGGAUGGUGUGCCUGCACCCAUGUUUGCAAGUCCCUAGGAAGAAUGCUCAGGAACUGUUCCAGCACCAUUGGUGCGAGCAUGUCUGGUCACCACACCCUGAUGAGCCAUCGUGGGCAUCACCUUGCCCUCACCCAGCCCUGCCCUCCAAGGACAGCACUGCGGUUGAUCUUCUCACACGUCUCUGCCGACAAUUGCUGUGACACCUCCAACCUUUCUGCAAAGUUCUAAACCAGUGACAAGACCCCACUCCCCCCACCUCACACACCCAAACCUGCAUUUUUCUAAGAAUUGUUGAUUCAUAUUUCAAAGAACACAUAGAGGAGAACAGAGCUAAAGAUAGCAGAGGCUCAAUUGUCAAAACUCAAAUGAAACCACUCAGAGAGGAAAAGCUACUCAUCCCACUUUACAGGUUAGGAGACUGAAAGCGCUUCUGCCCUGGAGGAAGGGUGGGAGGGCCUUGGUUGGCAGAAAGGAGAGACUGUGGCCACGUCCCACCAAGGCUGCCCUGAUGAAGGCCGUGUGGAGCUAUCAACAGACUCCUGCUACUCAUCGAGAGGCAGUUAACCCAGGCAAAGGAAGGUGUGCUCAGUAGGUGAGCAGGAUCCCAGUUGGCCUUUGGUUUCCACUACCUACCUUGAAUAAUUUCACUGUUAUUUGAUAAUAAAACACAAAACUGCUUUGUGGC
Molecule: non-coding RNA, 1063 nt
Organism: Manis javanica (Malayan pangolin)
Lineage: Eukaryota; Metazoa; Chordata; Mammalia; Pholidota; Manidae
Source: RefSeq, a predicted model, not a curated record